GACGAACGCUGGCGGCGUGCUUAACACAUGCAAGUCGAACGGAAAGGCCCUGCUUUUGUGGGGUGCUCGAGUGGCGAACGGGUGAGUAACACGUGAGUAACCUGCCCUUGACUUUGGGAUAACUUCAGGAAACUGGGGCUAAUACCGGAUAGGAGCUCCUGCUGCAUGGUGGGGGUUGGAAAGUUUCGGCGGUUGGGGAUGGACUCGCGGCUUAUCAGCUUGUUGGUGGGGUAGUGGCUUACCAAGGCUUUGACGGGUAGCCGGCCUGAGAGGGUGACCGGCCACAAUGGGACUGCGGUACGGACCAGACUCCUACGGGAGGCAGCAGGCGGGAAUAUUGCACAAUGGGCGGAAGCCUGAUGCAGCAACGCCGCGUGCGGGAUGACGGCCUUCGGGUUGUAAACCGCUUUCGCCUGUGACGAAGCGUGAGUGACGGUAAUGGGUAAAGAAGCACCGGCUAACUACGUG
This 468-nucleotide ribosomal RNA is filed under the name uncultured bacterium. RNAcentral describes it as "partial 16S ribosomal RNA". It matches the Rfam family "Bacterial small subunit ribosomal RNA", at positions 28 to 507 of the family's 1533-position model. The record is from RNAcentral.